This 253-nucleotide ribosomal RNA is filed under the name uncultured bacterium. RNAcentral describes it as "partial 16S ribosomal RNA". It matches the Rfam family "Bacterial small subunit ribosomal RNA", at positions 524 to 776 of the family's 1533-position model. The record is from RNAcentral.
UACGGGGGGGGCAAGCGUUGUUCGGAAUUACUGGGCGUAAAGGGCUCGUAGGUGGCCAACUAAGUCAGACGUGAAAUCCCUCGGCUUAACCGGGGAACUGCGUCUGAUACUGGAUGGCUCGAGUUCGGGAGAGGGAUGCGGAAUUCCAGGUGUAGCGGUGAAAUGCGCAGAUAUCAGGAGGAACACCGGUGGCGAAGGCGGGUCUCUGGGCAACAACUGACGCUGAGGAGCGAAAGCGUGGGGAGCGAACAGG